RNAcentral lists this ribosomal RNA (253 nucleotides) under uncultured bacterium. Its description in RNAcentral is "partial 16S ribosomal RNA". It matches the Rfam family "Bacterial small subunit ribosomal RNA", at positions 524 to 776 of the family's 1533-position model. The record is from RNAcentral.
UACAGGGGGUGCAAACGUUGCUCGGAAUCAUUGGGCGUAAAGCGCACGUAGGCGGUUCGUUAUGUCGGAUGUGAAAGCCCUUGGCUUAACCGAGGAAGUGCAUCCGAAACUGGCGAGCUAGAGUACGAAAGAGGAUCGCGGAAUUCCCGGUGUAGAGGUGAAAUUCGUAGAUAUCCGGAAGAACACCGACGGCGAAGGCAGCGUCCUGGCCGAGCACUGACGCUCAGGCACGAAAGCGCGGGGAGCGAACAGG